This 468-nucleotide ribosomal RNA is filed under the name uncultured bacterium. Its description in RNAcentral is "partial 16S ribosomal RNA". It matches the Rfam family "Bacterial small subunit ribosomal RNA", at positions 28 to 507 of the family's 1533-position model. The record is from RNAcentral.
GACGAACGCUGGCGGCGUGCUUAACACAUGCAAGUCGAACGGAAAGGCCCUGCUUUUGUGGGGUGCUCGAGUGGCGAACGGGUGAGUAACACGUGAGUAACCUGCCCUUGACUUUGGGAUAACUUCAGGAAACUGGGGCUAAUACCGGAUAGGAGCUCCUGCUGCAUGGUGGGGGUUGGAAAGUUUCGGCGGUUGGGGAUGGACUCGCGGCUUAUCAGCUUGUUGGUGGGGUAGGGGCUUACCAAGGCUUUGACGGGUAGCCGGCCUGAGAGGGUGACCGGCCACAAUGGGACUGAGAUACGGCCCAGACUCCUACGGGAGGCAGCAGUGGGGAAUAUUGCACAAUGGGCGGAAGCCUGAGGCAGCAACGCCGCGUGCGGGAUGACGGCCUUCGGGUUGUAAACCGCUUUCGCCUGUGACGAAGCGUGAGUGACGGUAAUGGGUAAAGAAGCACCGGCUAACUACGUG